GCGUGCACGCGCGAGGAAAGGCGAAUUCUGUGGCGUGACACUCGGCGUUAAACAUGGAACCUGUGCCCAACGUAAAACGACAAAUGGAGGUGGAAAUACAGAUAAGUGCGACAUUAGACAUUUGGGAGACAAGCGACGCCGGUUUGUAAUGGCUUCAUCCCCGGGAGAAGGCGAGGGAACCAUGGGGGGCGUUGCGUGGAGACACAUCGGCGCAGCCUCGGAGCUUUCCGGCAAGAAAUGCCGACUCGUGUACUCAUCCCUCGGCCGGCAGUCGGACGUGUGCCUCUUCUCCGUCAAGGGGGAGUUUUUCGCCAUGGAUGCCCGCUGUGCACACGCCGGAGGUCCGUUGUGCGAGGGCGACAUCGAGGAGGCUGAUGGAAUUCUACGGGUCUUCUGUCCAUGGCAUGACUACGACUUUAACCUCAGGACUGGGAAGUCCGGGACGUCGUUAAAGCAACAAGUGCAUGAAGUCAAGCUGGAGGACGGUGACGUGUACGUGAAGCAUGCGAGCUGUCUCUCCUUGCAGCCGUUUCCUGUCCAUCACAAGAGCUGAGCGUCAACCUUCCAUACCCCUGGCCGGGGAUGCCAAGUUGCUGAUUACAGGACGUCCUACCGUUCUUACAGUCGCUGUUAGACCUAAAAUCCUAACAUCUUGGGCCUCAGACCAGGAAAUUGAUGUCACAAUCAAAAGAUGGCUACAUCUGGCUCCUGAUCAGGAUGGUGACAGGAAGGAGAGCAUGAGAAGAAAAGAGGACAUGGAGAGCGCAACAAUUUGAUGGACAGAAAAAUACCGUUCAAGAGUAACCUACAUCCCAAUUUGGACUUUGUGUUCACUGUUAAAUAAAGAAAAGUGCAUUUUUCCAGUGUAUGU
Hippocampus zosterae (dwarf seahorse) is the source of this 871-nucleotide RNA transcript. RefSeq lists it as uncharacterized. The transcript has 4 exons. The record is from RefSeq and is a predicted model, not a curated record. Lineage: Eukaryota; Metazoa; Chordata; Actinopteri; Syngnathiformes; Syngnathidae.